AAUGUCGCCGUUUAUUGUUAGUUUCGAAUCUCACCGCAUUGGCGCUUUAGUUUAUCGCACUAGUGAUAUACUAGUUGGAAUUUUUGGCAGCGAAAGCUCAGUGUAAGAUCCAAUCCUCGAUCCGAACGGUCAACCGAAAAUUAGCGAACGAGUACAAGUGAUCGGUAGAAGUAGCCAAUAGCUACGUUGUGGCAUCGAAUAGUUUACAAUAGUUAUUUUUAUUAAUUACUGAUUAAUAAAUAAAUUUUAAAAAACGAUAAAAAUGGACGCGCGAUUCAAGAGCAAUCUUGCCAUGAUUGGCCGUAAUGAACCCAUUACGAGAAAAGCCAGAUUUUGGCAGAGUUAUGUACGUGCUCUCAAAGGAACCGACGACAUGAGAGCACCCGAACACACUCGUAAACCUAGAAGCAUAUUCAGCGACUACCCUGAACUUCAUUCGUCAUCAUGGCCUUACGGAAAAUCUAUUUUUGAUAACCCAUCGCACGCAUCUGAUCGCAUCAAUGUACCUGGAUACAGGUACUUACCCGUUCAUCGGGAAAUCUACGGCUACUCACCGAGACAAUUGUAUCCUCACCAGUACAAACCCGUCGAUCGCUUCGUCUCCGCUGAGUCAUUUGACGCCGACCGAGCAUGGAGUGACCACUUGGACCGAUUGGCAGACAUCGAUAGAUUGUACCCAAGUUCAUCGCCCUUAUUAUCUCGUCACAAAUCACCCUCGCUGUCGACGAAACCGCUAUUUGACAUUCACGGAAAGCUGUUGGAUGACCCGUUAACGCACUUUCCUUCGAUGCUGGGAAGAAAGGCUUUCCACGACAUGCUGGAGCCCCAGCCGUCUAAACCGAUCUCCGCCUUUACGAGAGAUCCAUGGUGGUACCCAUGCACCGCACCGUACAUCCCAGCUCACGCUCAAUGGAUAUCCUCACCCUUCUUCUUAAGGGACAGCUAUCUCAGUCCUGUUAAGCGUAAUUACCUUUGGAGAAGUCAUCCUCUCAGGCCUUUUGACAAGAUUAACGUUCUAUUUGCGUCUAUUUUGUAAAUAUCUAACCAUUCAGAUUGAGGAGAUAGAAAUAGAGAUAUAUAAAUGUGUAUAUAUAUAGUACAAGAUUAACACGAGAUAAGACUCGCGCUUGUGCCCGUUAGAGGAAUAACACGUGUCAUGCCGAUGGUUUGAAUAUAUGGUAGCGUGUAUGAAAAAAAAAAAGUAAGAG
This is an RNA transcript of Cotesia glomerata, 1208 nucleotides long. RefSeq lists it as uncharacterized. The record is from RefSeq and is a predicted model, not a curated record. Lineage: Eukaryota; Metazoa; Arthropoda; Insecta; Hymenoptera; Braconidae. The transcript is spliced from 8 exons.